Molecule: ribosomal RNA, 255 nt
Filed under: uncultured bacterium
Lineage: Bacteria
Description: partial 16S ribosomal RNA
Rfam family: Bacterial small subunit ribosomal RNA
Source: RNAcentral
GACAGAGGGUGCAAACGUUGUUCGGAAUUACUGGGCGUAAAGCGCGUGUAGGCUGCCCCGAAAGUCAGGUGUGAAAGCCCUGGGCUCAACCCAGGAAGUGCACUUGAAACUUCGGUGGCUUGAGUUCUGGAGAGGAUGGCGGAAUUCUCGGUGUAGAGGUGAAAUUCGUAGAUAUCGGGAGGAACACCAGUGGCGAAGGCGACUACCUGGCCUGUUUCUUGACGCUGAGGCGCGAAAGCUAGGGGAGCAAACGGG